RNAcentral lists this ribosomal RNA (301 nucleotides) under uncultured bacterium. Its description in RNAcentral is "partial 16S ribosomal RNA". It matches the Rfam family "Bacterial small subunit ribosomal RNA", at positions 509 to 807 of the family's 1533-position model. The record is from RNAcentral.
CAGCAGCCGCGGGAAUACGUAGGGUGCAAGCGUUAAUCGGAAUUACUGGGCGUAAAGCGUGCGCAGGCGGUUUGUUAAGACAGAUGUGAAAUCCCCGGGCUCAACCUGGGAACUGCAUUUGUGACUGGCAAGCUAGAGUCUGGCAGAGGGGGGUGGAAUUCCGCGUGUAGCAGUGAAAUGCGUAGAUAUGCGGAGGAACACCGAUGGCGAAGGCAGCCCCCUGGGCCAACACUGACGCUCAUGCACAAAAGCGUGGGGAGCAAACAGGAUUAGAUACCCGCGUAGUCCCUGUCUCUUAUAC